UCUGCUAUCGCUUUUAGAUGGACCCGCGGCGUAUUAACUAGUUGGUGGGGUAACGGCCUACCAAGGUGAUGAUACGUAGCCGAGUUGAGAGACUGAUCGGCCACAAUGGGACUGAGACACGGCCCAUACUCCUACGGGAGGCAGCAGUAGGGAAUCUUCCACAAUGGGCGCAAGCCUGAUGGAGCAACGCCGCGUGAAUGAAGAAGGUCUUCGGAUCGUAAAAUUCUGUUGUUAGAGAAGAAUAUGAGUAAUAGUAACUGAUUAUUCACUGACGGUAUCUAACCAGCAAGUCACGGCUAACUACGUGCCAGCGGCCGCGGUAAUACGUAGGUGGCAAGCGUUGUCCGGAUUUAUUGGGCGUAAAGGGAACGCAGGCGGUUUUUUAAGUCUGAUGUGAAAGCCUUCGGCUUAACCGGAGAUGUGCAUUGGAAACUGGAAGACUUGAGUGCAGAAGAGGAGAGUGGAACUCCAUGUGUAGCGGUGAAAUGCGUAGAUAUAUGGAAGAACACCAGUGGCGAAAGCGGCUCUCUGGUCUGUAACUGACGCUGAGGUUCGAAAGCAUGGGUAGCGAACAGGAUUAGAUACCCUGGUAGUCCAUGCCGUAAACGAUGAAUGCUAGGUGUUGGAGGGUUUCCGCCCUUCAGUGCCGCAGCUAACGCAAUAA
RNAcentral lists this ribosomal RNA (664 nucleotides) under uncultured bacterium. RNAcentral describes it as "bacterial SSU rRNA". It matches the Rfam family "Bacterial small subunit ribosomal RNA", at positions 208 to 863 of the family's 1533-position model. The record is from RNAcentral.